This 468-nucleotide ribosomal RNA is filed under the name uncultured bacterium. Its description in RNAcentral is "partial 16S ribosomal RNA". It matches the Rfam family "Bacterial small subunit ribosomal RNA", at positions 28 to 507 of the family's 1533-position model. The record is from RNAcentral.
GACGAACGCUGGCGGCGUGCUUAACACAUGCAAGUCGAACGGAAAGGCCCUGCCUUUGUGGUGUGCUCGAGUGGCGAACGGGUGAGUAACACGUGAGUAACCUGCCCUUUACUUUGGGAUAACUUCAGGAAACUGUGGCUAAUACCGGAUAGGAGCUCCUGCUGCAUGGCGGGGGCUGGAAAGUUUCGGCGGUUGGGGAUGGACUCGCGGCUUAUCAGCUUGUUGGUGGGGUAGUGGCUUACCAAGGCCUUGACGGGUAGCCGGCCUGAGAGGGUGACCGGCCACAGUGGGACUGGGAUACGGCCCAGACUCCUACGGGAGGCAGCAGUGGAGAAUAUUGCACAAUGGGCGGAAGCCUGAUGCAGCAACGCCGCGUGCGAGAUGACGGCCGUCGGGUUGUAAACCGCGUUCGCCUGUGACGAAGCGUGAGUGACGGUAAUGGGUAAAGAAGCACCGGCUAACUACGUG